This is a long non-coding RNA of Coturnix japonica (Japanese quail), 2489 nucleotides long. RefSeq lists it as uncharacterized. NCBI's taxonomy places the organism in Eukaryota, Metazoa, Chordata, Aves, Galliformes, Phasianidae. The record is from RefSeq and is a predicted model, not a curated record.
UUCACUUCCGAUGAACCCCGACUCUCCCGAUACAACUCCUCCACACGUAAAUGUAGGCCUGAGGAUAACAGGAAAAACAGCGCUUCAUUUGUUCUUUCUGAACACCAAACAAAAACAAGAAGGAGAAAGGAGUUGUUCCACAUGUCCCUGAGGCCUGAAAUCUAGCAGCCUGGAAUGCUGAAUCUGUGGUGGGGGACAAAUGUGCUGCUGAUGUGGCUGUGCACAAGUGGAACUGCUGCUGGCCUGACUGAAAAGGCUUCUCUUGCAGCUCAUUUAUCAACUGACGUGUUUUCUGGCUUUGCAGAAGAAGAUGACUGUGAUGACUCAAGGACAUCUCCUUCAAUGCUUUCUGCUAAUUCUGAGGAUGCUUGAAAGAUUCCUGAUGUUCACAGAUACCCCAUCACAGUGCCAACCUACAGGAUGUCAUGUCAGUGUUUCCAUUGAAGUGUCUCAGAGUCCAUUAACCAAGAGCAGGCACCUUUAAUGACCUGAACACACAGCAGGUGGAGAAACUGUUGGUGUACUGAUCAGAUAAAUGGGAUCUCUUAGAAUGUUUUCAAUCUAGAACUAUAUAAUAGUCCAAGAAAAUAUUUCAUACACAAAAAGAAGAAGAGCAUUAAUGGUGGAGUGCAAGACCAUAGAAGUAAAAAAGGCAGAACUCCUGAAAUGCCUGCAGGUACCUGUGACAGGUAGUCCCACCGUCAGCUUUUCAGCUCAGCUCUGAACUGAAGGAAGGCAGUGAGUGAGUGCGUGGAGUGUUUGCUAUGUGACAUGGCACACUGGGUGGUGCUAACGAACUGGUAAUCGCAGCUAUCUUCCCUUUAUUGGGUGUGAGGCAACGGAGGCCCGGGGGUCGGGUGCCUCUGAAUCCGAUCAGGAGUUGUGACUGCAUUAAGAGCCUGUGCGGAGGCAGAGAAACAGAAGUUGGAAGAGACAUCAAUGGUGCUCCUGAGGCAUCCCUUUGAAGCUUAGACUGUGCUUUUGGGAAAAAUGCUGUCAAAAAGAAAACUGGAACCGUGAGCAAAGAAACUGCCUAUAUUUUGUGCGUGCUUAAUGCUCUUGUGUUCAAAGAAGAGAAGGUUCAACACCCUCUGCAAGAAAGGGAUCGGGAAUGCCUGCCUCUACCAUGUAUGUUUUCUAAUGGAUGCACAGCAUCUUUGAAUGAGAAAUCAAAUAACAUUACACGGAUUGGUGAGCAUCCAGUACUUUCCACAGAGGCCUUGCAUUCUGUGCCACUGGUGUGAAGGGCAGAUGGUCAGAUUCACUGAGGGUCUUCAAUCAGUCUGCGUGGAAAAAGCCCCUGUGACUUUCUGAAGGGUAAGCAGUGAUUACAUGGUAAUAUUUGCAAGUCCACUAGUUCACUUGUCUUGUGUAAAUCUGUGCCAGCAAAGUCAAAGUCAACAAGUCUUGUCAACUCUAUGAGAUCGUUUUUCACCUUUUUUCCUUUAGUAAGGGAGACCUCAUCCAAGGCAUGUGGAGCACUACAGAGUGAGUUAUAAACAGUAUUCAAACUCAUGUGAGUUCAUGUAAGUAGUUCACCUUAAUGUCUACGUAUAGGAAUAUUCAUCACAACUGAGGUCUAUACUAUUUCACAUUCAUAAUAUAUAUUCACUAUAUCCUCUGUAUUACCGAUCAUGUCAGGAAAAGAAAAUCCUCACGUGUGCUGGCUGCAUACUCCUUCUGAGGUGUUAUGACUGCUGAACGAUGAAGUUGGUCAUGAUUUGAUGUGAUCUUAAUAAUACCAUUUCAGUGUUGCAUUUGAGCAGGUUUUCCAUUCUCACAUACUCUGAAUUCCUUGUGCUUCAUUGAGAACAGUUAUAUGCAAUUAUUUUUUGUUAUGAAAGUACAUCUCAAGUUUAAAAUAAAGGAUGUAGCACAUUUAUGUUGGAGUGGAAUACUUACAAUUUGAAGAAAUGAGCUGUAUUGCUGAGAAGAAAACUAUCCUACACAGUAUAUUUGACUUCUGUCAAAUCUUUGAGCCUGUCUAAUGCAGAAUGAAACCCAAAACAACACAUUCUUUUAAACCAAGUUAGCUAGUGAAUGUAUUUUGUAGCGCUCAGUAAAUGGGAUUGCUGUUCCAAACUCCAAGCUAUGUUUUUUCUACCAGGCUAUGAGAGACGGUGUUUUAUUCCUGUAAUUGCUACAAUUGGAAAAUUUGCAGUUCUAUUUAAAGAUUAAAUUGGUGCAUUUCUAGCUACUACAUAUGUAUUUUUCCCUUUGUUUCAUAUUAAAAUCUUUCAGACAAUGGUCUGAAACAAAAAUAUUUUAAAGAACUGAAGCAGAAGAGGCAGUGUGAACCUUGUGUGAGGUGCUUGGCCUGCCCUCAGUGAUGGAGGACAGGAUGCUGCCUUGGGCUGAAUGGCACAAUGUGCUGUGCCAGACUCUUGCUGGCAGCAUUUCCCUGGCACUGGCUGCUUAUUAGGGCUCUGCUUCUAUAGCGUGCUUAAAUAUCAGGAAAGGUUUGCCCCUAUGAAUGCACAAAGAUAAAC